UUACUUUGUCCUGAAGACCAAAGUGACAGCAGAUACAGGAAUCUGGAAACCGCAGAAGAAUUCAGGAAGAGCUCAGUGGGACAAGCAGCAUCUGUGGAGGCAAAAUAAUCACGCCAACGUUUCAGGUGCAGUUUGGCCUGCUGAAUGUUUCCAGCAUUUUCUGUUUCUACUAGCGCCAUGAAAUUUGGGAACCACCGAUCUGUGCAUGAGGGGACAAUUUCCAUAUUGAUGUCCACCAGGAGUGAUUUACAAUAAUUAUUAACCACCAAACAUCCUUGAGAUAUUGGAGACAACUGCAGACCCAGUGGAAACUCAUGCAGGUGGAACAUGUAAACUCCAGAGAAACAGCACACGAGAUCAGAAUCAAUGCCGGGUCACCUGAGCAAUAACUUUGUGCCACUGUUCUACCCUAUCCGAAGAUCCCAUCCUUCAAUUUCUGCCAACUUCGAUGAGAUUCCGCUAACACAUACAGUUCUUUCCUUUCAGCAUUCCUUCCACAACUACCUGGUCUAUUCUUUCAUCAGCAAGUCCACUUCUUGAAGCACCUUCACAUGCAACAUCCACCUUUUACCUCAUCCCUUCCCAUCAGUGAUUCAAACAUCACUUUCAGGUGAAGAAUCAAUUCUCUUGGACUUCCGGCAAUUUCUAAUGGUACACUGGAGAAGCCAAAUGAAGACUGGGUGACAGCUUUACAGAUUCUUCAUUCAGUUCACAAGGCUAGUCCCAAGCUUCUGAGUUAUCUGUGUGAGGUCCUGGGUACUCCAAUGAGGCAUAAUGUAAGUGUCAUCUUCCAUUACGGUUUGUUGCAGAUUACCACACCUAGUAUUGUAAUUAAUAUUGUCAGAAAACUUGCUUUUGCCUUGUAUCAGAAAUGGCCAAUUCUGUGACAUCACAUCCCCCCCCCCCCCAUCCCAUUGACACCGUCUAAUCUGCUGGCAUUUCCUAGAGCUCUUUCCUACAACUCAGAGCUUUUGCAUGCCCUUCUGCUUGAUUUCUCUAACAGUUCUGAGUAAUCUAUCAGCCAGAUGACUUCACAAUGCCAAUCCUGAUCCCAUCUCAGAUGUAUUCCUUUUGUCUGUGCAUCCCUCCAUGUUUACUAUAACUUUAAUCUAGCCAUCUUCUCCUGUCUUUCUUGGUAUUAUCGUAUUGUCUUUGAGCUGAAGAUACUGGCUCCUUUCCACGGGCACUGUUUGACCUAUUGGGAGGAUCCAGUAUUUUACGCUCUUCAGAAAAAUAUCCAGCACCUGCAGUUCUUCUCAAGAAUGCUCAUUCCAUCAGGAAAAUCAAAACCCCCACUCAAGCAUUUCCCACAAAAACUAAAUCAUUUCACCUUCUUGGCUGAGAACUCCCACCUCGUUCAACCAGGAUACGGGUCCUUUCACGGAAAUGUGGAAAACUGAUGAACUACAAAAGAACAACAAAUGCCUACAAACAGAACAGAUAAGCAUCCACGGCAAUAGCAAAAACUGCCAACAGUGGAAAAAAAUAAAGGCAAAAAGAAUGUGUUCAUUUCUGUUAUACUCUAUUAAAAACAAGCACUAAGUGAUAUAUUGAUGCCAUCAUAUUUUAUAUAGCUUGGGAUCCCACAAAGGAUUUGCUCUUAAUCAUGCUUUUAAAAUUCUGUUUUUCUAUAAUAUAUAAUAUAAUUCUAGCAAUUAUUUAAAAAUAAGGCCAGUGAACCUUGAAGAUACUUUCAUUUUCUUACUUGAACUUUGUAGCUCUCAUUUAAUAAUGGAAUCCUCCUUACAUGGCUGCUAUUAAACAAAGAUAUUUCAGCAUUAUCUAAAUUAAGCCAUCCAUCAUCCUGUAAUACAGGGCUAGUUGAUCAUAAAUUCUACACGAUCGGGACAAAAACAAACAUCUCAAUUGUUCCAUGUGGUUUUCCCUGGCCGUCUCAUGUCAGAGAGCAUUCCCAAAACUUGAGCAUGCGAUCAUUUUUCCUUGAGCUGAUUUCUCAUUUGAUUCUACACAUCAUGAUCUUGUAUCUUUGUUAUUUGAUGUUGCAUUCAGAAUAAACUAUACACCAGACAAAAAUGGUUUAUAGCAAGCUGUGGAAUUCAUUGCCACAGGAAUCUGUAGUGCCAGGUCAUUGGGUAUAUUUAGAGUGCAGGUUGAUAGGUUCUUGAUAAGGGCAUCAAAGGUUACAGGGAGGGCAGGAGAAUGGGGCUGAGUGUAAAUAUAAAUCAGCCAUGAUGGAAGACCAUAUGGGCUGAAGGGCUUAAUUCUGAUCCUAUGUCCUUAGGUCCAGAGAAAAAAAAAGGCAUUUCAGGACUGGAGGUUUGAAAACCCUUCUUCUCAUGAGGGAUGGUAGCUGUUUGGAGUACUGUUUACAAACUAAUCCCAAGUCAUUUAUUAAACUUAUGAUCUAAUAUUAUUUUUAAUUAGCAAAUACCCAAGAGAGUCAUCAAUGGGUAUAAAACAUAGGUGACCAGUCAAGAUCAAACAGUCUAGUGGAACAGGUUUAGCAGGCCAAAGAGCUUAUUCUCAAUCGUAGAGCACCUGGGCCACUGAACAGUCCCAAAGGCACUUUGAAUGCACACUCUUUAAUAAACUGAGCACACACAGAAUGACAUAGGAAGUAAAAGAUUAGGAGAGGAGUAAAAAUUCUUUGUGUGUAAGCAUUGAUACUUUGCAUCACCUGCUGGUUAUAGAAACCCAGAAGCAAUAGGUAUCUAAAGUGUACAUUAGAAAUGCAUUACUGCAUCGUGAAAAUGAAGUGAUCUCAUUAAAAGGCAUAAAAUACACAUUGCAUUACAAAAUACAAUUUGCAAACAUUUCCAACUUCAAAUAUUGUUUGACCAAAAGCUGCUAUUGGACUUCUCAAAUGUUUUUGUUACUGUAUUUUCAAGUGGAAAAAGUUUGACAUUUAUCUUCCACUGAUAAAGCUUGGAUACAAGAUUUUUAUGCUUCUCUUUCAUUAUGACUUGUAUGCAAAAUGUUGAUAAAUGUUGAUAACCUUUAAUGUAUCAUGUAAAACUUUAUAACAGAUUCCAAUUAAAAGAAAGUGUCUCAAUGGAGACCUGUCAUCUCCAGAUUUAACUAUUAAAUAAUGCACCUCCUGACUGAUCCCUCAUCUUUCAACUCUACCAAAUUGAGCUCCACGGACACGAUGCAAAAUACCACAACAUGACUCUCAGUCAUCCAAAUUGAACAUUUUUAUUCUUGUUAAAAUCCCUUCAUAGUCUCAGUCUUUGAAAUAUCUACCAUCCUUUAGACAUUUAAUCCACUCCAAAUUCUAUUUGCCCAACCUUAUCAAUUCAUUUUCUUUCACUUGAUCUUGUUCUUUCAUAAAACUCCAUCUCUUCUCCAAAAGCCUUCCACAAAACUAACUUCAAGCCUUGUUAUCUAUCCUCCUAUUAACACCACUUCCUCAUGCCAGUAUGCAGUACCUUGGAAGGUUCUGCUUUUGUUAAGAUACUAUACAAAUAACAUGGUUGUGGUGUUAAAUAGCAAUUGGUCAGACGCUAUCUGACAAAACC
Hypanus sabinus (Atlantic stingray) is the source of this 3479-nucleotide long non-coding RNA. RefSeq lists it as uncharacterized. The transcript is spliced from 3 exons. Lineage: Eukaryota; Metazoa; Chordata; Chondrichthyes; Myliobatiformes; Dasyatidae. The record is from RefSeq and is a predicted model, not a curated record.